Mastomys coucha (southern multimammate mouse) is the source of this 132-nucleotide small nucleolar RNA. RefSeq annotates it as small nucleolar RNA SNORA17. NCBI's taxonomy places the organism in Eukaryota, Metazoa, Chordata, Mammalia, Rodentia, Muridae. The record is from RefSeq and is a predicted model, not a curated record. The transcript has a single exon.
AUUGUCCCCUAGGGACAUUGCAGGUGUGGCUACUGUGCCACGUGUGUUUCUGUAGGUGGCAGAGAGGAGAGGGAACAUCUAACUCUUAGUGUUCUGUCCUGUGAACAUCUAAACGAUUUGUAGCCUAACACU